UGGGAACAGAAAGCCCUGACUCAGUGUGGAGUUCUCUAGAAGCAUUUUGAUUAGGACUUAGUAAGAGAUGACUUUCCACAGCCAUCCAGCAUGGCACCCAGUGUGCAUGAAGUGCAUCCUGAAUCCAUGCAGCUGCUCUUCCAGAGGAUCUCUGCCUGCUCAUAACUGAAAUCCAAUCAUCAGGAAUUCCAGUGCAGCAGGAUGUUAGAGAAAAUAAACAACAGUCUCCUGAGAGGUUCUACCACUGCUUGACAAAUACAGAGGUUCAAUUCCACCAAACAUUGGUGAAUGAUGGCCCAAUCAGCCUGUACUUCCUUGCUCUCCUGCUGCAAUGUCAUCAACUUCUUCUUUAUAAGAUUCUCCUCCAUCAGGAGCCGGCUGUGCAGGUUACUGUAAGGACACUCUGCAUGUCUUUCUUCUGGGAAGAUGGAGAAGUGAAAAUGAUCUUUCCAUUCUAUGGACCAUGUUCUCUUUUUCCCUCAGCCCACAUUACGAACAAAUGAAAGUGAGUAUCAUCACCUGAACAACUGAGUAAUAUCCACUGCUGCUAGCGUGGUACUGUGCUGAUGAUAAUCUUAGCUUCCUUUAGUGUUGCUGCCCCAGCAGGAAGUAUUAAGUGCUGAGGCCAGAGCUCAGAGAACCUUUCAAGGGGCUAGAGAGAAGCCAUCAGAGACUCUACACUUCCUUGUCCUGAGAUGAAAUCCAGGAACACAAUGUGAACUUGGUGGCUAAUUAACCAUACAUCAUACUUCUACCUCCACCUUUCUAUGUUCAGUACA
This is a long non-coding RNA of Mus musculus (house mouse), 779 nucleotides long. RefSeq annotates it as predicted gene, 30613. The record is from RefSeq and is a predicted model, not a curated record. The transcript has 5 exons. NCBI's taxonomy places the organism in Eukaryota, Metazoa, Chordata, Mammalia, Rodentia, Muridae.